AUAAUAAUAAUAAUAAUAAUAAUAAUAAUGUAUUCCAGUCAUUCUCACUCGAGUCAUCUAAGAUCAUACGCCUCAAUGCCAUCCUUUGUUGACAGCUUGACCCUAAACAGAAGCUCAUUGAGAAGGAAAAUGACCUCAAAAGUUUUAACCAUGAAUGAGCAAAUAAAAUAGUAACUAGUAAAUUAAAGCAUUUGCAGUUGAUGAAUUCUAGUGCUUGGUAGACUUAGUUGUUAGACCAAAGCCAAAGGGAAACAGAGGGUCGUAGUGUUGAUCGCCAACAUUCAUCGGAAGCUGGUCUACUGUCUUGAACCAGGUGCGUGCAAGCUUGCCUGGUGAAUCCAUAAUCGCCAAAGAGAACAUCAGCAACACCUUGGCCUUCGGUUCCAGGAAGCCAAGCAGCUACAAGAGCAUACUAUAUUUGCAAGAUAUGGCUGGAUCACAACAGGGCGACCAGAUAUGAUAAUAACAACGCAUUUGACAGAUGUACACACAUUGGUGAUGGUACUUGGACCGGGUUCAGGUAUUGUCAGAUUAAGGCUGUCACCAAAUGUUUCUGCAUAUGGUGGCUCACCAACUACUACAAUGGCAUAGGAGAAUUUAUUGGACUUCACAAAGUUCGCAUCUGGGUUCUUGUUGUAUACAACUUUGGUGGCAGGAUCAACUGUGUUUUUAAUUGCAUUGAGAACUGUAGUACCAGAUGUGAGGUUAUUGCCACUAAGACCUUGCCAUGUGAUUGUCCAGCCACCACAUUGAUUGCCCAAGUUGUCAGCAUGGCUUCCAGCAACUAAUAUCUUGGGUGCUCUUUUGGGAAGGGGCACCAAUGGUUCAUCAGCAGAUUCACCAUUCUUUAGUAGCACAAGCGAUUUCCUUACAGCUUCUCUUGCUAAUUCUCUAUGUUCCUGGUUUCCAAGUUGGUUGGCCAAACUGAGAUCAGCGAGUGGGUUCUCAAAAAGACCCAUGGUAAAUUUAACCCUUAAGAUUCUUUGUACCGCGUCAUUAAUCCUGCUCAUGGGGAUAAUUUUGUUCUUCACUUGAUAGGUUAGGUCAUCAAUGAAUUCUGUGAAAUUAUAGGGAACCAUGACCAUGUCAAUUCCAGCACUGACUCCAGCUUCAACAGAAUAAGAAUAAUUGGCACCUGGAGGAGAGGUAAUCCUGUCAAUCCCCUG
This 1166-nucleotide unclassified non-coding RNA is filed under the name Hevea brasiliensis (rubber tree). The record is from RNAcentral. Lineage: Eukaryota; Viridiplantae; Streptophyta; Magnoliopsida; Malpighiales; Euphorbiaceae.